GAGGGUACGGCUCAGUGGUAGAGUGUAUGUUUUGCAUGUAUGAGGUCCCAGGUUCAAUCCCCGGUACCUCCA
RNAcentral lists this transfer RNA (72 nucleotides) under Camelus bactrianus (Bactrian camel). It matches the Rfam family "tRNA". Rfam says of the family: Transfer RNA (tRNA) molecules are approximately 80 nucleotides in length. Their secondary structure includes four short double-helical elements and three loops (D, anti-codon, and T loops). RNAcentral also lists the same sequence under 2 other names. The record is from Rfam by way of RNAcentral. Lineage: Eukaryota; Metazoa; Chordata; Mammalia; Artiodactyla; Camelidae.